RNAcentral lists this ribosomal RNA (950 nucleotides) under Atylotus horvathi. RNAcentral describes it as "SSU rRNA". It matches the Rfam family "Eukaryotic small subunit ribosomal RNA", at positions 44 to 904 of the family's 1831-position model. Lineage: Eukaryota; Metazoa; Arthropoda; Insecta; Diptera; Tabanidae. The record is from RNAcentral.
AUUAGCCAUGCAUGUCUAAGUACAUACAUUAUUAAAGUGAAACCGCAAAAGGCUCAUUAUAUCAGUUAUGGUUCAUUAGAUCAUUAACAGUUACUUGGAUAACUGUGGUAAUUCUAGAGCUAAUACAUGCAAUUUAAACACGGACCAUUUGGAACGUGUGCUCUUAUUAGGCUAAAACCAAUCGAUACCUUUAUGGAAUCGUUUUAUAUGGUUGAACUCUAGAUAAUUUGCAGAUCGUAUGGUCUCGUACCGACGACAGAUCUUUCAAAUGUCUGCCCUAUCAACUAUUGAUGGUAGUAUCUUGGACUACCAUGGUUGCAACGGGUAACGGGGAAUCAGGGUUCGAUUCCGGAGAGGGAGCCUGAGAAACGGCUACCACAUCUAAGGAAGGCAGCAGGCGCGUAAAUUACCCACUCCCAGCACGGGGAGGUAGUGACGAAAAAUAACAAUACAGGACUCAUAUCCGAGGCCCUGUAAUUGGAAUGAGUACACUUUAAAUCCUUUAACAAGGACCUAUUGGAGGGCAAGUCUGGUGCCAGCCGCCGCGGUAAUUCCAGCUCCAAUAGCGUAUAUUAAAGUUGUUGCGGUUAAAACGUUCGUAGUUGAAUUUGUGCUUAACACGGGUAGUACGCCUAAAAUUUUGGGUCUGUACAUUACCUUUUUGUGUGUGAGCGUAUUAUCGGUGAGGUAAUUAUAUUGUAUAUAUUAUUUAUAUUUUAUAUUAUAAUAUAAACCUCUAUUUAAACCUACAUUAAUCCUCUUUACCGAGUGUUUUUGUAGGCCGAUACGAUUACUUUGAACAAAUUANAGUGCUUUAAAGCAGGCUUGAAUGCCUAAAUAUUUUGUGCAUGGAAUAACUGGAAUAUGACCCUCUGCUCUACUUUCUAUUUGGUUUUUAGAUCAAGAGGUAAUGAUUAAUAGAAGCAGUUGGGGGCAUUAGUAUUAACGAC